This is a ribosomal RNA of Danio rerio (zebrafish), 119 nucleotides long. The record is from Ensembl. Lineage: Eukaryota; Metazoa; Chordata; Actinopteri; Cypriniformes; Danionidae.
UCAGAUGGUACACAUGUCACCCUGCAGCCUAAGAGCGGUUACUCACUGAAGCUAAGCAGGGCUGAGCCUGGUCAGUACCUGGAUGGAGACCACAUGGAAAAACUAGGCUGCUGUUGGAA